This 372-nucleotide ribosomal RNA is filed under the name uncultured organism. RNAcentral's name for it is "partial 16S ribosomal RNA". It matches the Rfam family "Bacterial small subunit ribosomal RNA", at positions 527 to 896 of the family's 1533-position model. The record is from RNAcentral.
GUAGGUGGCAAGCGUUGUCCGGAAUUAUUGGGCGUAAAGCGCGCGCAGGCGGUUCUUUAAGUCUGAUGUGAAAGCCCACGGCUCAACCGUGGAGGGUCAUUGGAAACUGGAGAACUUGAGUACAGAAGAGGAAAGCGGAAUUCCACGUGUAGCGGUGAAAUGCGUAGAGAUGUGGAGGAACACCAGUGGCGAAGGCGGCUUUCAGGUCUGUAACUGACGCUGAGGCGCGAAAGCGUGGGGAGCAAACAGGAUUAGAUACCCUGGUAGUCCACGCCGUAAACGAUGAGUGCUAAGUGUUAGGGGGUUUCCGCCCCCCUUAGUGCUGCAGCUAACGCAUUAAGCACUCCGCCUGGGAGUACGGCCGCAAGGCUG